UCAGAUGGUUGGAUGACUGCUGGCGUCUAGUCUUACGGGGCGAGGGGCUGGAGGAAAGUCCGGGCUCCACGGAAACACGGUGCCGGGUAACGCCCGGCGGGGGCGACCCCAGGGAAAGUGCAACAGAAAGUAAACCGCCACCGCGCGUCGGGUUUCGGCUUGGGCGUCCGGGGGUAAGGGUGAAAGGGUGCGGUAAGAGCGCACCGCGGCCCCAGCGAUGGGGCUGGCAUUGUAAACCCCACCGGGAGCAAGACCGAAUAGGGACGGCCGGUCAUAUCCUUCGGGAUGAUGACGGGUGGGUUUUCGUGCCGUCGUCCGGGUAGGUCGCGCGAGGCGGCUGGUAACAGUCGUCCCAGAGGAAUGGUCAUCCAUCCCGCAGGUCUUCGGACUCUAGGGGGGACAAAACCCGGCUUACAGACCAUCUGACCCG
RNAcentral lists this RNase P RNA (430 nucleotides) under Alphaproteobacteria bacterium. Its description in RNAcentral is "RNase P RNA component class A". It matches the Rfam family "Bacterial RNase P class A". Rfam says of the family: Ribonuclease P (RNase P) is a ubiquitous endoribonuclease, found in archaea, bacteria and eukarya as well as chloroplasts and mitochondria. Its best characterised activity is the generation of mature 5'-ends of tRNAs by cleaving the 5'-leader elements of precursor-tRNAs. The record is from RNAcentral. Lineage: Bacteria; Pseudomonadati; Pseudomonadota; Alphaproteobacteria.